GGUACAAGUAGCUUAAGUAGAGCUUCUUAUUGAAAAUAAGAAAGGUGGUAUUUCCCUGUGCCU
This 63-nucleotide transfer RNA is filed under the name Perna viridis (Asian green mussel). RNAcentral's name for it is "tRNA-Phe". Lineage: Eukaryota; Metazoa; Mollusca; Bivalvia; Mytilida; Mytilidae. The record is from RNAcentral.